RNAcentral lists this ribosomal RNA (413 nucleotides) under uncultured eukaryote. RNAcentral's name for it is "SSU rRNA". It matches the Rfam family "Eukaryotic small subunit ribosomal RNA", at positions 567 to 990 of the family's 1831-position model. The record is from RNAcentral.
CCAGCAGCUGCGUUAAUUCCAGCUCUAAUAGCGUAUAUUAAAGUUGUUGCAGUUAAAAAGCUCGUAGUCGGAUGUCGGGCUCGGGCAGGCUGUCGGCCUCGGUUGGGCAGCUUGCUUGGGUCUUCUAGCUCGGGGGCCCCGUGCCAUUUAACCGUGGUGCGCGGGAACACGGGCCGUUUACUUUGAAAAAAUUAGAGUGUUCAAAGCAGGCCUACGCUUGAAUACAUUAGCAUGGAAUAAUGGAAUAGGACUUUGGUUCUAUUUUGUUGGUUUCUAGGACCGAAGUAAUGAUUAAUAGGGACAGUUGGGGGCAUUCAUAUUCCAUUGUCAGAGGUGAAAUUCUUGGAUUAACGGAAGAUGAACUUCUGCGAAAGCAUCUGCCAAGGAUGUUUUCAUUGAUCAAGAACGAAAGU